RNAcentral lists this ribosomal RNA (1430 nucleotides) under Staphylococcus saprophyticus. RNAcentral's name for it is "bacterial SSU rRNA". It matches the Rfam family "Bacterial small subunit ribosomal RNA". The record is from RNAcentral. Lineage: Bacteria; Bacillati; Bacillota; Bacilli; Caryophanales; Staphylococcaceae.
UACAUGCAAGUCGAGCGAACAGAUAAGGAGCUUGCUCCUUUGACGUUAGCGGCGGACGGGUGAGUAACACGUGGGUAACCUACCUAUAAGACUGGGAUAACUUCGGGAAACCGGAGCUAAUACCGGAUAACAUUUGGAACCGCAUGGUUCUAAAGUGAAAGAUGGUUUUGCUAUCACUUAUAGAUGGACCCGCGCCGUAUUAGCUAGUUGGUAAGGUAACGGCUUACCAAGGCGACGAUACGUAGCCGACCUGAGAGGGUGAUCGKCCACACUGGAMCUGAGACACGGUCCAGACUCCUACGGGAGGCAGCAGUAGGGAAUCUUCCGCAAUGGGCGAAAGCCUGACGGAGCAACGCCGCGUGAGUGAUGAAGGGUUUCGGCUCGUAAAACUCUGUUAUUAGGGAAGAACAAAUGUGUAAGUAACUGUGCACGUCUUGACGGUACCUAAUCAGAAAGCCACGGCUAACUACGUGCCAGCAGCCGCGGUAAUACGUAGGUGGCAAGCGUUAUCCGGAAUUAUUGGGCGUAAAGCGCGCGUAGGCGGUUUCUUAAGUCUGAUGUGAAAGCCCACGGCUCAACCGUGGAGGGUCAUUGGAAACUGGGAAACUUGAGUGCAGAAGAGGAAAGUGGAAUUCCAUGUGUAGCGGUGAAAUGCGCAGAGAUAUGGAGGAACACCAGUGGCGAAGGCGACUUUCUGGUCUGUAACUGACGCUGAUGUGCGAAAGCGUGGGGAUCAAACAGGAUUAGAUACCCUGGUAGUCCACGCCGUAAACGAUGAGUGCUAAGUGUUAGGGGGUUUCCGCCCCUUAGUGCUGCAGCUAACGCAUUAAGCACUCCGCCUGGGGAGUACGACCGCAAGGUUGAAACUCAAAGGAAUUGACGGGGACCCGCACAAGCGGUGGAGCAUGUGGUUUAAUUCGAAGCAACGCGAAGAACCUUACCAAAUCUUGACAUCCUUUGAAAACUCUAGAGAUAGAGCCUUCCCCUUCAGGGGACAAAGUGACAGGUGGUGCAUGGUUGUCGUCAGCUCGUGUCGUGAGAUGUUGGGUUAAGUCCCGCAACGAGCGCAACCCUUAAGCUUAGUUGCCAUCAUUAAGUUGGGCACUCUAGGUUGACUGCCGGUGACAAACCGGAGGAAGGUGGGGAUGACGUCAAAUCAUCAUGCCCCUUAUGAUUUGGGCUACACACGUGCUACAAUGGACAAUACAAAGGGCAGCUAAACCGCGAGGUCAUGCAAAUCCCAUAAAGUUGUUCUCAGUUCGGAUUGUAGUCUGCAACUCGACUACAUGAAGCUGGAAUCGCUAGUAAUCGUAGAUCAGCAUGCUACGGUGAAUACGUUCCCGGGUCUUGUACACACCGCCCGUCACACCACGAGAGUUUGUAACACCCGAAGCCGGUGGAGUAACCAUUUAUGGAGCUAGCCGUCGAAG